This 4050-nucleotide long non-coding RNA is filed under the name Volvox carteri. Its description in RNAcentral is "long non-coding RNA (VCAR_LNC003651)". The stretch from base 2437 to 2517 matches the Rfam family "tRNA". Lineage: Eukaryota; Viridiplantae; Chlorophyta; Chlorophyceae; Chlamydomonadales; Volvocaceae. The record is from RNAcentral.
CAAGCCAAUCUAAAUUUAAAAAGUUGUCGCUUGCCUGUCCAGAUGACGUAGAUGUUUUGGUCGCGGUAAUAAUUGCUGGCCCCGGGGGUGGGUGGAAACUCCCUCGUCCUGUCUGUGUGUCAGAACCCGUGAAACCCAUGCAACCCUCAGCAAUCCCAUCGAGGCCACCUUUCAGCUCGCGCUGAGAUUUGAACUCAGGUCGGUGGAUUCAGAGUCCACAGUGCUAACCACUACACCACGCGAGCAGUGUACUGCAUGUACGACAUCUUAAUCCUAAUCAUAAUGACCCAGUACAGUACUUCCGUAACGCAACGCACAACACGCCGUUCUGCUGCCUAUCUACCUACCUUCCUAGUGUUGCUGUGGAAAUAUUGGAGUGACACAAUGUUUUGGUCCGGCAAGCAAUCCAUUUUUGGCUGUUGGAGAGGCGGUGUAGCAAGCUACAUUUACCUUAGAAUAUCUUUAAGCUAUUAAAGCUUAAUCACAGUAACGGUACGGUCCCGUAUUUACGAACCAUACUCGUUAACUGUACGAACUCACUUUCUGGUACGCUAUCACAACCUAGCGUACGGCACCAAGACUCCAGGAAUGGAGAUGGCGGCAGGUGGGCCGCAUUUAAGCCACCCAGGUGAAGUGCUUCGGCCAGACACUUAACGUAUCACUAUACUAGUGUUCAGGGUUCAAGACCUUGCUGUCACCGUUCUCGACGUAUGUCUUCGAAUCCCGACUUCCCUUGUCUCUUCUCACGCCUAACGCUGGGUCGCCAAUCGUGGACGAGACCCUCUACUUCCGCUAAAACAGCUAAGGUAAGAGACGGCUGUUACAUUUUGGUAUCGACGAUCAUUUGUUCGGUCCUCGCCUCACAUUGCGCCGCAGCAGUUACUCGCCCAUUGUCUGAGUCUUAGACUCGACUUUCUGGAAAUGGUUCCUAAGCCUAUAGCUAAGACUAAGGCUGUUUCUUUGAGCGAUGCUAAGCACGUUCCUAUUCCGCGACCGAAGUCUAAGACUACGGCGCAAAUUCCUGCCGAUGCUACAACCGCUUCGNNNNNNNNNNNNNNNNNNNNNNNNNNNNNNNNNNNNNNNNNNNNNNNNNNCUCAGCAAUCCCAUCGAGGCCACCUUUCAGCUCGCGCUGAGAUUUGAACUCAGGUCGGUGGAUUCAGAGUCCACAGUGCUAACCACUACACCACGCGAGCAGUGUACUGCAUGUACGACAUCUUAAUCCUAAUCAUAAUGACCCAGUACAGUACUUCCGUAACGCAACGCACAACACGCCGUUCUGCCGCCUAUCUACCUACCUUCCUAGUGUUGCUGUGGAAAUAUUGGAGUGACACAAUGUUUUGGUCCGGCAAGCAAUCCAUUUUUGGCUGUUGGAGAGGCGGGCACCCGGGUAUAUAUUAGAGGCCUCUAGGGGGCCAGAUUUCUUUGUCCAGGGUUCGUGAACGUUGGUGCAUGCCUAUCUGCUGCAUCUACCUACCUGCUGCAUCUAUGACUCCCGACGACCUGACUGCCUGGCUAUCUGCCUGCCUGCAUCGGUAUGUAGGCUACGCCAGGUGGGAGCCAAAUACAGGUGUUGCCAUCAAGCAACCGAACAAGUUGCACUCACAGGGCACAUACUUGUACUUUUGUUGCAACCAAAUACAAGGCUGUCCCUUCGUAAGCAACUGCAAGGAGCUACAGAUUUGUAACAAAUAACUGAAACAAGCCAAGCUCUCAGAAACAGGGCAAAGGCAGGCACCUACACUGGCUGUUCACCCACAAUUCGUUGGAUAUUGCUCGGCCAGAUGCAACUGGGCCGCAUAUGUCCAGCUAGGUCUGCCAGGAUGUGACGCACAUCGAUGUGAUAUGAAAGGAUACUUCUACACAUACCAAGAUAACCACAAACGUUGUUGCAAGUGUAUUUCAAAGUUGUGUACACACUUUGUGUACGUACUCACAUAGUUGGAUAGUUGUGUACUCAUAUAGUUGGGUAGUUGGGUAGUUGGGCAGUUGGGUAGUUGCAUAAUUGUGUAAUUGCAUAAUUGUGUAGUUGCACACUUGCGUAGUUGGGUAGUUGUGUAUUUGCAUAGUUGGUUAGUUGCGCAGUUGCGUAAAUAAGGAGUUGGGUAGUUGUACAGUUGGGUAGCUGCAUAUUGCAUAGUCUGUUGUUGGCUAGUUGGGUAGUAGUUGGCUACUUGCAUAGUUGGUUAGUUAUGUUGAUGGGUAGUUGGGUAGUUGUGUAGUUGGAAGUUGGGAAGUUGCAUAGUUGCGCACUUGUGUCGUUGCAUAACUGCGUAGUUGGGUACUUGUGUCGUUGCGUCGAUGUGUCGUUGCGUCGAUGUGUCGUUGCCUAGUUGCGUAGUUGGGCGCAAACUAGUUCAUGACUUGGAGAGUGGGGGCCGUGUGGGUCGCGAUCCCCAUGUUAUGUACGAGGUACGACAAUGCCAGGGCUCAUUUCCGCGGUCGUGCCCGAGUGGUUAAGGGGUCUGACUAGAAAUCAGAUGGGAUCUCCCGCAUAGGUUCGAAUCCUGUCGACCGCGUCCGGUGGAGAAAGUAUUUGGCCAAUUUUAAGACGUGNGGGCAAGAGUGCAAUGAAGUAACACGUGUUAGACCAGUGCACGUGAAGACCUGCAGGACACUCUCUACUUGAAUGCAUUAUCAACACCAAAAUAUAGAGUAUAUGCAUGUAGCUCUGCAGCUGACUGAGAAAUCUCUGCUGGGUCUGAAGAACAACCUAAAAUGAAGAGGGUGCUGAACCGUACCAUCAGGUGUUAUGGAUGCUAGACCUUGAAAAAUUGCUGGAACGUUUCAGCAAAGAACUUGGCACGGCUGACAAGGAUGAAGAUGCCUCAAAACACUGGUGAAGGCGUAGGAACUGCCAGGCUAGUUGUCACAGAUGAAGCUUUACCCCCUUCAGCUAUUAGAUAGGAUUGUAAGUAUACACAAUGCCCCUGGCAGGCACAUACUGUUGCGUGGAUGGGCUGGAGAAUGCCAGGGUGUAUCUACAUGCGCUCAUUGCCUACCUACCUCCCUGCUGCAUCUAUGAUUCCCGACCACCUGCCUGCCUGGCUAUCUGCCUGCCUGCAUCGGUAUGUUGGCUACGCCAGGUGGGAGCCAAAUACAGGUGUUGCCAUCAAGCAACCAAACAAGCAUCAAGCAGCACUCACGGGGCGUAUACUUGGUACCGGUGUUGCAAUGCAAUAUAGGGCUGUCCCUUCAGAAGCAAGUGUAACACAAAUGACUGAAGCAAGCCAAUCUAAAUUUAAAAAGUUGUCGCUUGCCUGUCCAGAUGACGUAGAUGUUUUGGUCGCGGUAAUAAUUGCUGGCCCCGGGGGUGGGUGGGAACUCCCUCAUCCUGUCUGAGUGUCAGAACCCGUGAAACCCGUGCAACCCUCAGCAUUCCCAUCGAGGCCACCUUUCAGCUCGCGCUGAGAUUUGAACUCAGGUCGGUGGAUUCAGAGUCCACAGUGCUAACCACUACACCACGCGAGCAGUGUACUGCAUGUACGACAUCUUAAUCCUAAUCAUAAUGACCCAGUACAGUACUUCCGUAACGCAACGCACAACACGCCGUUCUGCCGCCUAUCUACCUACCUUCCUAGUGUUGCUGUGGAAAUAUUGGAGUGACACAAUGUUUUGGUCCGGCAAGCAAUCCAUUUUUGGCUGUUGGAGAGGCGGGCACCCGGGUAUAUAUUAGAGGCCUCUAGGGGGCCAGAUUUCUUUGUCCAGGGUUCGUGAACGUUGGUGCAUGCCUAUCUGCUGCAUCUACCUACCUGCUGCAUCUAUGACUCCCGACGACCUGACUGCCUGGCUAUCUGCCUGCCUGCAUCGGUAUGUAGGCUACGCCAGGUGGGAGCCAAAUACAGGUGUUGCCAUCAAGCAACCGAACAAGUUGCACUCACAGGGCACAUACUUGUACUUUUGUUGCAACCAAAUACAAGGCUGUCCCUUCGUAAGCAACUGCAAGGAGCUACAGAUUUGUAACAAAUAACUGAAACAAGCCAAGCUCUCAGAAACAGGGCAAAGGCAGGCACCUACACUGGCUGUUCACCCACAAUUCGUUGGAUAUUGCU